Molecule: non-coding RNA, 1725 nt
Organism: Equus caballus (horse)
Lineage: Eukaryota; Metazoa; Chordata; Mammalia; Perissodactyla; Equidae
Source: RefSeq, a predicted model, not a curated record
GGGGCGGCUGGGCUGGUAGCACUUGGGAAGUCGGACGAGGGGGCGCGGGGCACAGUUCCGCGUCUUGCGUUCUGGCCGCAUCCGCCGGGCCAGGUUCGGUAUCUGAGAGUAGGGGCCGUGCGUCCCUGGGGUGGGGAAGCCGGUGGAGGAAAAUGUGGGGCUGGUCUUGAGCGCAGGCCCUGAGUGAGAGUUCCACCCCGCCCGCCCCGCGUGGGUCCCCGCCCAGCCCGGGGCACACCCGCUUUGUGCAAGCUGAGCAGCGAGCGCGCCAGCUCGGCGUUGGAGAGGCCGCUGAGGCGCGUGGCCUGGCAGAAGAAGGCUGCAUGCUGAUCGCCCGUUGCAGGCUGUGUUCUGAGGCCUGGAUGAGCUUGUCUGCCCGGAAGAGGUGCUUGGAGGUCUGCACACGGAUGGAGCGAUGGUCGGGGUACACCUGGUCCUCCUCUGUGGAACUCAGGUAGAGGAUGGGGUUGAUGGUGGGGCCAUCGUGACAAUGGGCAAGCUGGGUCCCCACCAGCCUGGAGUGUGGCAGGAAGUGACAGCCUUGGCUCUGGCUGAGAAGAAUUGCUCCCAGGAUUAUCGGAAGGAUCAGAAUGUGCUGUGGUCUCUUCCCGUAGAUGUAGAGGUGAGGAGCAUCCCUGCAGGCCUGGUCCCAGGCCUGGGAUUUGGGCCCCUCCAUGUUCAGCCUGGGCCUCGAGGUCUGGGAUCAGCUGGAUGAUAGGCUGGGACGGUAGCGCCAUGGACAGGCUCCCAGUGGCCAGCUCAGUGGCCUCUUCAGGACCCUCCACCUUCUUGACCACCAUGCUCCCUUGGCUUCCUCCCCAUGGCUCUCUUCAUCUCCAACUCCACCUGCCCCAAGGGCAGCUCUUCCCCGGGCUUCUGACCUCAGAGUCUUCCCUUGCUUGCUUUCCAAAGUGUCCUGGGCAAUUUAAUCAAAACCCAGAGCCUUAACCCUUCCAUGACCAGCAACUGGCUGUGGUUAGGAGAAGAAGGUGUUAUGGGGUGAACCUCAUAGCAGCCCUGGGGGUUGGAAGCAAAAGCCUGAAGUCAACUCAAAUUGGGGCCUCUGUGCCCAACUUGGGAAUGUUCUAUCAGGGAUUCAAGUGACAUUCUGUAGUAUGUGAAAUAAUUUCCAUUCCCAAUUGCUGGCUGCUAGUACAUAGAAAUGUAUCAAUCUUGUAUCCUGCAGCCAUCCUAAAUUCCUGUUAGCUUCAAUUUUUUCUUCUUUUUUGUAGAUUCCAUAGGGUUGUCUACGUGAAAUAAUGUUUGCAACUCAAGACAGUUUUACGUCUUCCUUCCCAAUCUGGACGUCUCUUAUUUCCUUUCCUUGCCUUAUUGCACAACAAUUGCCAGUAGAAUGUUGGAUAGAAAUGAGAGUGGACAUCCUUGCUUUGCUCCUGAGCUUAGGGGGAAGUCAUUGAUGUUUCCCCAUGAAGUACAAUGUUAGCUGCAGUUUUUCUCUUCGAUGCCCUUCAUCAGGUUGAGGAAGUUCCCCCCUAUUCCGGGUUUACUUAGUUUUUAAGUAGGAAGGGAUGUUGGGUUUUGUCUGAGGCUUUGUCUGCAUUUAUCAAGAUUAGCACAUGGUUCUUCCUUUGUAUUCUGUUAUAUAUUAUAUAUGUUAUGUUGUUAACAUAUGGAUAAUGUUAUAUAUUAUUCUGUUACUAAUUCUUUUGUGUUCUGCUUAUGGUUAAAUAAAUGGUUAAAUCAAUCUUGCAUUCUUAGGAUAAA